UUUUUUUUUUUUUUUUUUUUUUAGCGGUGAAAUUAACUUUUUGGUAAAGCCCAAUUCAAAGAUCUGAGAAGGGGGAAACCCUUCUCAGCUAGAAAAUUAAGGUUAGAUGUGUUUUAAAUUAAUAUCCAAAACAUCUUUUAGUGUGCUAUGGGGUAUAAUGUAAUUCCCCCUCCCAAAAUUGUCCCUGGAUAUGUUUAAGGUUGAUAAAAGCAGGUUGGGAAAAUCCCAAGGUACCAAUAAUCAAUAAGAAUUCUAGAAGGCAGAACUGCAUAUCUCAAAAACAGUACUUAGAAAUUCGACUUAAGCUAGACACUUACAUUAAAUGUUACAGCCUGAUAAAGAAGGCAUUAUUAUCCCCAUUCUACUCAUGAGCAAAUGAAGCCUUUGAGAUAUUAUAACUUCCCAAUGAGUCCAUAGGUAGUAAGUGGUGGAUUUGGCAUCUAAUUCCAGGCUCUCUUUACUCAACAGCUUGAACUAUUUAUACCAUAUUAUAUUGUAUUGGCACAACAAGCAGCUGCAUUCGUUAACUAUGUAAAUAAAAACAUUAAUUGGGCAUAAAUUAUAUGGUGUAAGUCACGAUAUGUUCUUUAGAUGGGAAAAUGAAACAAGGCACUCUACUUUCUGCUCUCAAGGAGUUCAAAUCUAGGAAAAGAAAAAGCUUCUUGAACAGAUAUUUAUAAAGCAGUGAGGUCGGUGUAACAGCAGAAGUGAUUGCACAGUGGAGUGAGAGUAUGGGUGAUGAAUAAGCUAUCUUAAAGGAUGAGUUGAAAUUUUUCCAAAUAGAUAGCAUGAAAAAAGAUUCCACUUGAGGAAAAUAAUGAAACAUAGGAUCUCAUAGUAUAUUAGGGAAUAGCAAUGACCCUUCAUGGGCUGAUAAUAGAGGCAGUAAAGUGAGGUGGGUAAGAUCACAGUCACAACAGCAAUACUUGAGAAUUAUAUUUAUGUGUGUGUUCUCCCCCGUUUUCCAACAUAAAAAUUUCCAAUAUCUUUAGAGCAAUAUUAAAGACUCCUCAUCCUCUGGUCUCUGCUCACAUACCCCAAGUUAUCUCGUUUCAAUACCCUAUAGCUAAAGUUCUAUCCUUUAUCCAUAAUGAUGAUCUUAGAGAGUGUUUAUUAGGAGUUAAUCAUUCUUUUAAGUACCUAAAAUAUACUAAUUCAUUUUUUCUUUUAAUUUUAAAACAAUUUUAAACUUACAGAAAAGUUGCAUUAGAAAAGUACAAAACAAAAUUUCUUUAUACCCUUCAUCCAGAGACCCCUUGCAAGUUUCGAUAACUAAUCCUAUGUAUUCUUUAAAAAAAAAAAAUCCAAUUCAGUACAAUUCAGAACCAAGUACCACUGUUUGCCAUGUCCCUCUAGUCUCCUUCAAUACAGAACAUUUCCUUUGUCCUUCCAUGACUUUCCCAGCCUUUAUAAAUGUGGAUAUUAGAGGGUCUUAUUUUAUAAAAUGUCCCAGAAUUGGGGUUUUUGUGAUGUUUCCUCAUGAUCAGUUGCAUGUUAUUCAUUUUUUAGCCAGAAUAUUGUAGUGUUACUGUGUUCUUAUCAGAUGAUAAAAUGGUGCUUAAGAAGCAAGAAGCUACAUAAAAAAAUGCCACUAGAUUUCAUGAUUCAUUCACUACUGGUGAUUUGAUUCUGUACUUCACAUGAUUUACUAGCAGUCUGUCUCUGUAACUGAAAAAUGGUAAAAACACUUCAAGAGUAAUGGCAUAUAAUUUACCUACUUGGAAAUCUUAUACAAUUCUCUGUGUAGAGCGAGUACUCAAUAUGAAGCUAUCAAAUUUAUCAAAAGAAAUUGAGAUGAACUUAAGUCACUUAGAUAACUUUACAAAGAGCAAUUCUAGAGGAGGACAGCAAAGAAUAGAAGUUGAAAGAAAUGUUUUAGGGGUUUGGAUUCAAAAAAGAAAAGUGACAGGAGAAAGGAUUUUUAGGUCUUUGGGGGAAUGUCUCAGGGAAGGGUAAAGAAAGAAUCAUUUUGAGGCUGCCUAAUUUGCUUCUAGAGAGAAAACAAAUUAAAUGUUUUACAGCAAUCUGAAAAAUAGUAGUGUAUUCAAUCUUAAAAACUGCCUCAGGAUGUAAAUAUUGUUGUUUUCUCAUUUUAUAGACAAAGGCGUUAUGAUGAAUCAAGUAUCCUGCCUAAAGUCAUACAACCAGAGACUGGCAGACAUAAGUUCCAAGUUUAUUAACCUUUCAUUCCUGUGCCCUGGUUCUCUGCAAGAGGCCUUUAAACUACAUCAUAUUUAAGCUCACUUGUAGUUCAAAAUUGUAUGAUAAAUGAGUGGGAAUGAAUUGUACUAUGAGAACAGAGAAAAGAGGUAGAAACUGAGGGAGAAGAUCUUGUCUUAUAGAGACGGCACAGUUUGUUAUUCAGGGGAUCCUUUAAAUUAAGAUGAAAACUUUCUAGCAAAAAUAUUAGCACUAGAUAAAGAAAGAGGACCAGGAGAGAGAGCAAAGGAAGCAGUAGUAGUUAUAACAGUUGUGGUAGCUUUUGAGAGUCCUACUAAGUAUCACACAUCGCUUUAUAUCAUAUAUAAUACCUGCUUACAAAAUUUCUUUUCUGGAAGGUAUUUCUAUCUUUUUAGAUUUGGGACUGCUUUUAACUACCAAUUAUUUUUAUGUAGGCCUCUGGCAUUUAGGAUGAGAUGGACAAGAAAAAUUUUCCUCUUUCUUUUCAAAUUCUCCCCACAAAAUGACCUUUGGGGCUGUGGUUCAGUUUUAAUGGCAGGCAGGAUAUAGCUGCUCUCAGGCAUGUCAAACAUCCAUGAAUUGUUAUUGUUUUCUCUCUCCAUUAUCAUUUAGACAAUCAAUACGUAUUUAGCUUCUUUAGUAAAUAAGUCAAUGAUUCUAAGCCUUCACCAUUAUUUGAACUCGCUAUAGUUUGUGUCUCUCUGGUAAUGAAAGGAUGAAAAACAAUCAUAUGGUUUUCCAGAAACAGAUCAUUAGUUGUGUAAGAGAAAGAUUGUCGCUUUCUUUUUUAUGGUGCAGUAACUUUUUGAACCCCAUUCAUAUUGUGUGUGUAUACUAUAAUAAAACUGUGUUUGAUGGUACCACAUUGAUUAUAAGUCAUAUGUGGAAUACAGUUAGCUUUUGCUGCUAUAAAACUUACCCAAAAGCUAAUGGUUUAAAAUAUAGUCACUUGUUUAUCUUACAGUUUUAUAGGAUGGUGAUUUCAGCUAGCCUCUUGGGCAGUUCUUUUGGUCUGGGACUGGCUUGGUUGAUCUCAGCUGGCCUCAUUCAUGCAUCUCUCAGCAGCUGGCUGGUUUGCUGUGAGUUGGCUUCUGUAUAAUGGUGACAAGCUGGAUGACUAGGGUCUCUAUCUACAAGGUUUCUCGCCGUUCAGAAGACUAGGCAGGUAUUCAUGUGGUGGCAGGAUUCUAGAGCAGCAUGAUGUUGCACACAAAUGGGCAAGUGCUUUUCCUAUUCCUUGUCUUAUCAUAUUUGUCAAACUGUCAGGUUUGCUGUUACUCAUUGGCUAAAUAAAGUCUCAUGGCCAAGCCUAAAGUCAUUGUGGGAAAGCAGCCACAAAUAUGGCACAUUUGUGAAAGUUGCAUACAAAUGCCCAGUGUGACAGUAUAUUAUAUAUAAUUAUAAAUAGUGGUUUCAGAAAUUAUGAUCAAACCACAUUCUAUCAUUUUGGUAAACUGACAAGUGAAUUUUCCAGAAAAAUCUUAUAUUUGCUAUUUUUCAGGGAAUCUGCAACUAUUAGAGAUGAAAAUGGUCUAAGAUGGAGUUCCUGUCGUGGCUCAGUGGUUAGUGAAUCCGACUAGGAACCAUGAGGUUGCGAGUUCCAUCCCUGGCCUUGCUCAGUGGGUUAAGGAUCCACCGUUUCCGUGAGCUGUGGUGUAGGUUGCAGACGCGGCUCGGAUCCCAUGUUACUGUGGCGGAUGUAGCCCUACAAAAGACCAAAAAAAAAAAAGAAAGAAAAAGAAAAAAAAAGAAAAAAGAAAAUGAUCUAAGAACUAUUCUAUUGAUAUCUGUAUCAGUCGGGAUAGAUCAAUUGUUAAUACAGUAGCCAGUUUUAGGAAAUUUAAGACCUGUAAGAUAAGAAGUUAAACAGGGAAUGACGGAGUAACCAUGGAUUAGCAAAAUCUACCAUCUAGGGAAAAAGGUAUAAAAACAGGAGAUGGUAUUAUCUUGAUCUCAAAGCCUGGGCUGUCUGUUAAGAGCUAGAAUCACAGGUGCUAUGGAUGGAGGGAAGAAAAGGAGAUACUAAAUAAUAUGUCCCCCAAAAGAGGGUAAGAGGGGGAAAUAUACUCUGGCUUUUCUCUGCUUUCUCCUCUCUAGUGUCCUAUCAGUUCUUCCAUUUGACUGAACUUAAUCAAACUUGGCAAGGGAGCUUGGGAAACUGUUUGUAGAAAAAGGGAAAGGAAUGGACAUGAGAACAAAUAGACAAUGAGGUAAGCGUUCUUCUACCCGGACUGCAGCAGAGCUAAGGGAGUGAAAAUAGAAUUUUGUUAGAGGAGAAAUACAGCAUGACGGAAUUCUUGUAACUCAGGCUAAUGUAAUUAAGAGAUUUUUCCAGACUCCAAUACCUUUUCCUCUAUCUUAUUGAAGGUUAAGAGUUUAGAAUGCAGCCCUAGAGUUCUCUAGCAUUGUAGAGAGUAUUACUAUUGUUGUCUAUUAUGAUUUAACCAUGAUGUUGAGGUUGAAGAAAGGAUAAGUCAGAGCAGAGUGUUACUAAAAUAGAAGCCCACCUCAAUCCUGCCCUGCUUACUACUGGGAACUCAGGAGGAAGUCCAGAAAACUCAAGUCAGAAUUUGUACAGACAAUGAGGUGCCUUGAUUUAUCAAUGUUUAGCUGCUUGGAUUCCUCUUCCCCCUCAAACCUCAGGGGUUGCUGAGACAGAACCCAGAAGUGGUUGAGAGUCCAGUUUGAAGCUCACCAGAGGGAACACUUAAGUGGGGGUGAAAUUGGCUGAUUUCACUCUACGUACCAGGGUCAGAGUGAGUCAAAGGAGACCAAGAGCUAGCUUGAGCAUCAGUGAAGACCAAAGUGAAGAAGCUCCCAAGGGCAUGCUAUUGUAUUGAACUCAAGCCUAGGUAUAUACCAAGCAUGUCCAUGAUAUGUACCAAAAACAGACUUGGUAGCAAACCAAUAGGCAGGCAACACUCAGAAUAGGAGUAGAUUUGUCCGUGCCCUCACAGACAUUCACAUGCCUGUGAAUCUUUCUCUGUAAUAUGAGACUGAGUAGUGUUAUUCAUCCAACCUAUAUCUAGAUGCCAUCUUAGAAAGGAAAAGAAGAAAAGGUAGAAAAUGUAGAAAUUUGUGCCUAUUAACAGUCUUUUUUUGAGAGCGAGUUGAGCAAAAAUUAAUGCCAGUGUUUAAUAUUUUAGAUAAAGCUAAAUUUCAGACUGAAUAAAACAUGUAAUUCCCACACCCCAUUAAUCAUGAUCUAGUGAAGAAAGUGAGAGUACAUAUAAAAAUAAAUACUUUUUUUCCUGUAUUUUAGAAUUUUGAUAUGAGUGAGGACAGGUACUAUUCUAAACAUUUUACAGAUGGUCAUUUAAUUCUCAUAACAAUCCUUAUGAAAUAGAGCCUACUACUCUCCCUUCUUUAUAGGCAAGGAAACUGAAUCCAAUGCCUCUCUCCCUACCUACCAUUUAAAUUAAAAAAAAAAAAAGUGUUUCAUCUGCUCAUUCUGAUGUCAUGCGUAUAUGAAAAUAGUAAAUAACAGUGAUAAGAGUAAAAGCAAAAUUUUCUGAUUAUUCCAAGAAUAUUGCAUAUUAUUUAUUCAUUUUUCAGUCAUUAUUAGAGAAGCUAGAAGGAAUUACCUGUAGCUUUCUAGAAUAUGAAUAAAAAAGGCUAUAGCAGAUGCAUUUCUAUGUUU
Molecule: long non-coding RNA, 5821 nt
Filed under: Sus scrofa (pig)
Lineage: Eukaryota; Metazoa; Chordata; Mammalia; Artiodactyla; Suidae
Description: lncRNA (ENSSSCG00025026690.1)
Source: RNAcentral